Molecule: ribosomal RNA, 433 nt
Filed under: uncultured bacterium
Lineage: Bacteria
Description: partial 16S ribosomal RNA
Rfam family: Bacterial small subunit ribosomal RNA
Source: RNAcentral
AACGAACGCUGGCGGCAUGCCUAACACAUGCAAGUCGAACGAGACCUUCGGGUCUAGUGGCGCACGGGUGCGUAACGCGUGGGAACCUGCCCUUAGGUUCGGAAUAACUCCCCGAAAGGGGUGCUAAUACCGGAUAAUGUCUUCGGACCAAAGAUUUAUCGCCUUUGGAUGGGCCCGCGUUGGAUUAGCUAGUUGGUAGGGUAAAAGCCUACCAAGGCGACGAUCCAUAGCUGGUCUGAGAGGAUGACCAGCCACACUGGGACUGAGACACGGCCCAGACUCCUACGGGAGGCAGCAGUGGGGAAUAUUGGACAAUGGGCGAAAGCCUGAUCCAGCAAUGCCGCGUGAGUGAUGAAGGCCUUAGGGUUGUAAAGCUCUUUUACCCGGGAUGAUAAUGACAGUACCGGGAGAAUAAGCACCGGCUAACUCCGUG